This 328-nucleotide ribosomal RNA is filed under the name uncultured eukaryote. Its description in RNAcentral is "partial 18S ribosomal RNA". It matches the Rfam family "Eukaryotic small subunit ribosomal RNA", at positions 1470 to 1796 of the family's 1831-position model. The record is from RNAcentral.
CCCUUAGAUGUCCUGGGCCGCACGCGCGUUACACUGAUGCAUUCAACGAGCUUAUAACCUUGGCCGAGAGGCCUGGGCAAUCUUGUUAACGUGCAUCGUGAUGGGGAUAGAUUAUUGAAAUUAUUAAUCUUGAACGAGGAAUUCCUAGUAAACACAGAUCAUCAAUCUGCAUUGAUUACGUCCCUGCCCUUUGUACACACCGCCCGUCGCACCUACCGAUUGGAUGGUCCGGUGAAGCCUCGGGAUUGUGGUUCUUGCCGCUUUAUUGUGGCGUGACCGCGAGAACUUGUCUAAACCUUAUCAUCUAGAGGAAGGUGAAGUCGUAACA